AGUGUGUGUGUUAGUGGAAGCGUCUGGAAAGGCGCGCGAUACAGGGUGACAGCCCCGUACACAAAAAUGCACAUAUUGUGAGCUCGAUGAGUAGGGCGGGACACGUGGUAUCCUGUCUGAAUAUGGGGGGACCAUCCUCCAAGGCUAAAUACUCCUGACUGACCGAUAGUGAACCAGUACCGUGAGGGAAAGGCGAAAAGAACCCCGGCGAGGGGAGUGAAAAAGAACCUGAAACCGUGUACGUACAAGCAGUGGGAGCCUCUUAAUGGGGUGACUGCGUACCUUUUGUAUAAUGGGUCAGCGACUUAUAUUCUGUAGCAAGGUUAACCGAAUAGGGGAGCCGAAGGGAAACCGAGUCUUAACUGGGCGUUAAGUUGCAGGGUAUAGACCCGAAACCCGGUGAUCUAGCCAUGGGCAGGUUGAAGGUUGGGUAACACUAACUGGAGGACCGAACCGACUAAUGUUGAAAAAUUAGCGGAUGACUUGUGGCUGGGGGUGAAAGGCCAAUCAAACCGGGAGAUAGCUGGUUCUCCCCGAAAGCUAUUUAGGUAGCGCCUCGUGAAUUCAUCUCCGGGGGUAGAGCACUGUUUCGGCAAGGGGGUCAUCCCGACUUACCAACCCGAUGCAAACUGCGAAUACCGGAGAAUGUUAUCACGGGAGACACACGGCGGGUGCUAACGUCCGUCGUGAAGAGGGAAACAACCCAGACCGCCAGCUAAGGUCCCAAAGUCAUGGUUAAGUGGGAAACGAUGUGGGAAGGCCCAGACAGCCAGGAUGUUGGCUUAGAAGCAGCCAUCAUUUAAAGAAAGCGUAAUAGCUCACUGGUCGAGUCGGCCUGCGCGGAAGAUGUAACGGGGCUAAACCAUGCACCGAAGCUGCGGCAGCGACACUAUGUGUUGUUGGGUAGGGGAGCG
Molecule: ribosomal RNA, 914 nt
Filed under: Escherichia coli
Lineage: Bacteria; Pseudomonadati; Pseudomonadota; Gammaproteobacteria; Enterobacterales; Enterobacteriaceae
Description: partial 23S ribosomal RNA
Rfam family: Bacterial large subunit ribosomal RNA
Source: RNAcentral